ACCUACGGGGCGCAGCAGUGGGGAAUAUUGGGCAAUGGGCGCAAGCCUGACCCAGCAACGCCGCGUGAAGGAAGAAGGCUUUCGGGUUGUAAACUUCUUUUGACAGGGAAGAGCAGAAGACAGUACCUGUAGAAUAAGCUCCGGCUAACUACGUGCCAGCAGCCGCGGUAAUACGUAGGGAGCAAGCGUUAUCCGGAUUUAUUAGGUGUAAAGGGUGCGUAGACGGAGAAGCAAGUUAGUUGUGAAAUCCCUCGGCUUAACUGAGGAACUGCAACUAAAACUACUUCCCUUGAGUACUGGAGAGG
RNAcentral lists this ribosomal RNA (305 nucleotides) under uncultured bacterium. RNAcentral's name for it is "bacterial SSU rRNA". It matches the Rfam family "Bacterial small subunit ribosomal RNA", at positions 337 to 657 of the family's 1533-position model. The record is from RNAcentral.